CAAAUGGCUGUUUUAACAGCCACCCCGUCAAAAGGAAUAGUCCCAG
Molecule: non-coding RNA, 46 nt
Organism: Xenopus laevis (African clawed frog)
Lineage: Eukaryota; Metazoa; Chordata; Amphibia; Anura; Pipidae
Source: Rfam